GUUUGUUCCUAAAUCUAAUCGAGCUCCCAAGGAACUAGUAUCUUAUAGAACACACAUAGAAAAUAGUGCUCUACAGUAGUCACUUUCACAUUUUUUUCUUGGAUCCAACUUCAUGAUAAGAAAUACAUUUUAACUCAUAAUCUAUUCACAUGUAUAUGAAUAACUGAAACAGAAGUUUCACAAAAUUAUGAUUAUGUUUGCCACAAAUGGUGUGCUCUAAUAUUUUCCUUCUGUUUCAUCAGAAGAAAAAUACUGGUUACUAUCCAGCUAAGCUGAUUUUGUGACCCAUUAAUGAGUUUCAGUUCUCACUUUGAAAACACUGUUCUAGAAUUACAGAAAGGUCUAGGGAUGAGAACUAACACCACUGUGCAUCACAGUGUGUCAGUCUGUGCCAGGCAGCUUAUAAAUAUUUUUUGCCUCUAAUUUUUAUACAUUUAUGAGGUAAGUAUCAUUUUCUAGGUAAGGAUGCUAAUCUGUCUCCAAGCCAAAUAACACACAGUAAAUCAUGGCACCAGGAUUUGAAUCUGGGUCUUUAUACAUCAUAGCCCAUGCUGUUCUCACUGUAUUUUGCUUUUUCCAAGUAUAACCCCGUUUUCACACGAAUGGCCCCUUCACAUAUUUGAAGACUACCGUCGUGUCCGUGCUGACCCUUUCUCCCUGCCACACAUGGCUGGAGUGCAAUGGCGCGAUCUCGGCUCACUGCAACCUCUGUCUCCCAGGUUCAGGAAAAUGGCUUUGUAAAGAAGCUUGAGCCUAAAUCUGGCUGGAUGACUUUUCUAGAAGUUACAGGAAAGAUCUGUGAAAUGCUCUUCUGUCCUGAAGCAAUACUGUUGACCAGAAAGGACACUCCAUAUUGUGAAACCGGCCUAAUUUUUCUGACUCUUACGAAAACGAUUGCCAACACAUACUUCUACUUUUAAAUAAACAACUUUGAUGAUGUAACUUGACCUUCCAGAGUUACAGAAAUUUUGUCCCUAUUUAAUGAAUAAAUUGUAUGUAUUUUU
Molecule: long non-coding RNA, 1004 nt
Filed under: Homo sapiens (human)
Lineage: Eukaryota; Metazoa; Chordata; Mammalia; Primates; Hominidae
Description: suppressor of tumorigenicity 20
Source: RNAcentral